Molecule: unclassified non-coding RNA, 183 nt
Filed under: soil metagenome
Description: partial contains 5.8S ribosomal RNA, internal transcribed spacer 2, and large subunit ribosomal RNA
Source: RNAcentral
AACGAGGCCGACCUGCGGCUGAGUUACCUGCGGAGGGAUCAUUAUCGAGUGGUCUUAAUGACCUUCGACCCACCAAAUCCUGUGGCAGCACAUCGUGCUUUGGCGCGCCCGCGCCAUAUUCAUGCAAGCCGUCUGCUUUGUGUCUGACUCGAACGAAGCAUCAAAACUUUUAACAAUGGAUCU